UGUGCCCAUGUGACCCUUAAGGUCUUCUACGGUCCACUAAUCUUUCGCGAUAGCGCCCACGUGAACACAUGAACACAGUACUGACCAGUGUCCAGUUGAGCUACGGCCAGCGAGACGACAUUUGAGAAUCAGUCAAGUGAAAGAGAAGUUGGUCGGUAAGCCUACGAAAACGCCUCCCACCACUCAACCCCUUGACAUCAGAGCCGAGAAUGGGUACAUAGACAUCAUCAUAAAGGUUUUCUAAAUUCUGGACUUGAGAAAUAUCAUCCCACCUUGUUCUAAUGCUAAGGAAGGCGCAUACAACACGAUGGCUCACCUCAUGUGCGCUGGUCACCUGGAGCCGAAAGAAGAUAGGAAGAUACACAUGCGCUGCAACAGCAAUAGCCGGAAAGUAACUGAGCG
Lingula anatina is the source of this 402-nucleotide long non-coding RNA. The record is from RefSeq and is a predicted model, not a curated record. Lineage: Eukaryota; Metazoa; Brachiopoda; Lingulata; Lingulida; Lingulidae.